This 442-nucleotide ribosomal RNA is filed under the name uncultured bacterium. Its description in RNAcentral is "partial 16S ribosomal RNA". It matches the Rfam family "Bacterial small subunit ribosomal RNA", at positions 338 to 795 of the family's 1533-position model. The record is from RNAcentral.
CCUACGGGUGGCAGCAGUGGGGAAUAUUGGGCAAUGGACGCAAGUCUGACCCAGCAACGCCGCGUGAAGGAAGAAGGCUUUCGGGUUGUAAACUUCUUUUAAGGGGGAAGAGCAGAAGACGGUACCCCUUGAAUAAGCCACGGCUAACUACGUGCCAGCAGCCGCGGUAAUACGUAGGUGGCAAGCGUUGUCCGGAUUUACUGGGUGUAAAGGGCGUGCAGCCGGAGAGACAAGUCAGAUGUGAAAUCCACGGGCUCAACCCGUGAACUGCAUUUGAAACUGUUUCCCUUGAGUGUCGGAGAGGUAAUCGGAAUUCCUUGUGUAGCGGUGAAAUGCAUAGAUAUCACACAGAACACCGAUUGCGAAGGCAGCAUACCGGCGCCCAACUGACGCUGAAGCACGAAAGCGUGGGUAUCGAACAGGAUUAGAUACCCUUGUAGUC